Long non-coding RNA from Phocoena sinus (vaquita), 1718 nucleotides. The record is from Ensembl. Lineage: Eukaryota; Metazoa; Chordata; Mammalia; Artiodactyla; Phocoenidae.
GAAGGAGCCAGCCACAAGCAACCAAAAUAGAUGGAGGUUAACUAGGGGAAAUAGGUAAUAGUCCAUCCAUGGCCCCAGACCUAAAAUUGCAGCUGGGCCCUUAAGAUUAAGACCACAGCCAAAGUCAUUACCUUGAAAUUCCAUAGUGGAUUGGAAUAAAGUUAGUAUUUAAAUUGAUUUUAAAGGAGGUAAAAAAGAAUUCUCAAGGCUCCCUUUUUUGGCUAAUCUCAUAUUCCGAUUUCCUAACCCUUUAAUUUUUCCAUUCCCUUCAUCAGAGAGAAAACCAGUGGGUAGUAGACGUCAAUCAAAUGGUGUUUUAAGGACCGUUUGCCUCCCACAGCCAUCGUUGGUUAAACUCAAGUGCCUGAUUUUGGAGAGGAAAGUGCAUGUGGAUUUUUCUGUGUCCGUUUGUGGGCAGGUGAUGCAGUGAGGCAGGUCAGUUUAAAAAGGUGUACGUCCAUUGUUUCAGAAAGAGAGAGAAUGAAUGAAUCAUUCUGGACGUGUGUGUGUAUCCAUAUCCAUACUUUUUUGGGAUAACUCAAGGUUACCAAAAUGGGGUCAAACUAGGCAUGUGGUUUGUAACAUGCAUUGGACACAUUUUUCAUGUCAAUCAUGAUGGCAUUAAAAGUUGGUACCAUAAUUUAUUUAACUAAUACACUGUUGAGUAUUGUGCAUUUAGAGUAUUUCCAGAUGUUUACUAUUCUUAUAUAUGUCUGUAUAAUUGCAUGCAGUUAUCACUUAUGCUAAAUUCCUAGACUUGAAGUUGUUGGAAUGAAAACGAUAUACAUUGUAGAUUUACUACAUAUUGUCAGAGGAAUCUCAGAAAGUUUAUACCAGUUUAUGCUCUCACCAGCAGGAAGCCUCAACAUACCUGGGCAUCGUUGAUAUUCUUAAUCUUGAUUAAUCUGGUAGGUGAAAAAUGACCUUUCAAUGUUUUGUUUGCAUUUCUCUGACUAAUUUGCAUGUUGACUGGUCAUUUGUAAUUCUGUUGUGGUGAUAUGCCUUUUUUCUCAGUAGUUGGCUUGUCUUAUAUUGAUUUGAAAAAGCUCUUUGUAUUAUAGUAAUUUUUACUUUUAGCUGUCACACGUGUGGUAAACUAAUUUUCUACUUUAUUAUUUCCCUUUUGACCUGUUUGUGUCAUGCACUGCCGCGCAAAAACUUUAAAUUUGUGUAGUCAAAUGUAUCAGUCUUUUUCCUUAUGUAUUUUGCCUUUGGUACCAUGCUUAGAAGGAGUUUCCAAUCUCAAGGUAAUAACUAUAAUUCAGCAGUUAAAAAAACAUUUAAAUCUUUAAUCCAUCUGAAACAUUUUAGUAUAAGGAAUGAGGUCGGGAGGGGUCUUUUUUUAUUCUUGCUAAAUGGUUUAGCCAGUUGUUCUAUGAAUAUUCCUUGACUGUUAUUUUUUUCCCCUCGUGAUUUGACUCGUAUACUGAAUCAUAUACUAGAGUCUAUUUCUGAACUUUCUCUUUUGUUCUGCUGAUUUAUUUCUGUGCCAGUACCACCUGCUAUAAGUUUAAAAUAGGGUUUUUUUUUUUUAGUACCAACUAAAAGUAAGUUACCACCCUUUUUCUGUUAAUUCUCAGAGUAUUCUCAGGUUUUAUUAUAUAUUUAUUCAUGUAUACAUAUUUAUUAUACGUAAACUAAAGAAUUAUUUGGUCAAGUUCCCCCCAAAAUCUUCAUAUUUUUCUUGGGGUUGUAUUAAAUAAAGAGUGCUCUUAUCC